GACGAACGCUGGCGGCGUGCUUAACACAUGCAAGUCGAACGGAAAGGCCUUUUCGGAGGUACUCGAGUGGCGAACGGGUGAGUAACACGUGGGUGAUCUGCCCUGCACUCUGGGAUAAGCCUGGGAAACUGGGUCUAAUACCGGAUAGGACCGCACUUUAGUGUGUGUGGUGGAAAGUUUUUUCGGUGUAGGAUGAGCCCGCGGCCUAUCAGCUUGUUGGUGGGGUAAUGGCCUACCAAGGCGGCGACGGGUAGCCGGACUGAUAGGUUGGUCGGCCACAUUGGGACUGAGAUACGGCCCAGACUCCUACGGGAGGCAGCAGUGGGGAAUAUUGCACAAUGGGCGCAAGCCUGAUGCAGCGACGCCGCGUGGGGGAUGACGGCCUUCGGGUUGUAAACUCCUUUCGCCAGGGACGAAGCGUUUUGUGACGGUACCUGGAGAAGAAGCACCGGCUAACUACGUG
This 463-nucleotide ribosomal RNA is filed under the name uncultured bacterium. RNAcentral's name for it is "partial 16S ribosomal RNA". It matches the Rfam family "Bacterial small subunit ribosomal RNA", at positions 28 to 507 of the family's 1533-position model. The record is from RNAcentral.